Molecule: ribosomal RNA, 750 nt
Filed under: uncultured organism
Description: bacterial SSU rRNA
Rfam family: Bacterial small subunit ribosomal RNA
Source: RNAcentral
GCUCUUGCGCUGACGAGUGGCGGACGGAUGAGNUAUGCGUAGGAAUCUGCCCUGCAGCGGGAGAUAGCCCGGGNAACCCGGGAUUAUACCGCAUACGCUCUACGGAGGCAAGUGGGCCUCUUCAUGAAAGCUCACACUGCAGGAUGAGCCUACGUCCGAUUAGCUUGUUGGUGGGGUAAAGCCUACCAAUGCGGACGAUCGGUAGCUGGUCUUGAGAGGAUGAUCAGNCACCCCGGGGACUGAGACCACGGCCCGGACUCCUACGGGAGGCAGCAGUGGGGAAUAUUGGACAAUGGGCGAAAGCCUGAUCCAGCAAUGCCGCGUGUGUGAAAGAAGGCCUGCGGGUUGUAAAGCACUUUUAUCAGGGAAGAAACGGCCUGGCCUAAUACGUCAUGGCAAUUGACGGUACCUGAAGAAUAAGCACCGGCUAACUCCGUGCCAGCAGCCGCGGUAAUACGGAGGGUGCAAGCGUUCAUCGGAAUUACUGGGCGUAAAGCGUGCGCAGGCGGCUGCCUAAGUCGGAUGUGAAAGCCCCGGGCUUAACCUGGGAAUUGCCUUCGAUACUUGGGUAGCUAGAGUUUGGUAGAGGUACGUGGAAUUCCGGGUGUAGCGGUGAAAUGCGUAGAUAUCCGGAGGAACAUCAGUGGCGAAUGCCGUUUACUGGACCAAAACUGACGCUCAGGCACGAAAGCGUGGGUAGCAACCGGAUUUAGAUACCCUGGUAGUCAACGCCCUAAACGAUGUCAACUA